RNAcentral lists this transfer RNA (106 nucleotides) under Methanospirillum hungatei JF-1. It matches the Rfam family "tRNA". Rfam says of the family: Transfer RNA (tRNA) molecules are approximately 80 nucleotides in length. Their secondary structure includes four short double-helical elements and three loops (D, anti-codon, and T loops). The record is from Rfam by way of RNAcentral. Lineage: Archaea; Methanobacteriati; Methanobacteriota; Methanomicrobia; Methanomicrobiales; Methanospirillaceae.
CCCGCCUUAACUCAGACUGGUAGAGUGCGCGGCUGUAGACUGAUUUGCCGUUUGAGGCAAGAGCGCAGCUACCGCGAUGUCCCCGGUUCAAAUCCGGGAGGCGGGA